GAUGAACGCUGGCUACAGGCUUAACACAUGCAAGUCGAGGGGAAACGCCGGGGAAGCUUGCUUCCCCGGGCGUCGACCGGCGCACGGGUGAGUAACGCGUAUCCAACCUGCCUCUGACUGAGGGAUAACCCGUCGAAAGUCGGCCUAAUACCUCAUGGCAUCGUCUGCGGGCAUCCAACGACGAUUAAAGAUUUCAUCGGUCAGAGAUGGGGAUGCGUCUGAUUAGCUUGUUGGCGGGGUAACGGCCCACCAAGGCGACGAUCAGGAGGGGUUCUGAGAGGCAGGUCCCCCACAUUGGAACUGAGCCACGGUCCAAACACCUACGAGAGGCUGCAGUGAAAAAUAUUGGUCAAUGGGCGAGAGCCUGAACCAGCCAAGUAGCGUGCAGGAUGACGGCCCUAUGGGUUGUAAACUGCUUUUAUGCGGGGAUAAAGUGAGGGACGUGUCCUUCAUUGCAGGUACCGCAUGAAUAAGGACCGGCUAAUUCCGUG
This 491-nucleotide ribosomal RNA is filed under the name uncultured bacterium. RNAcentral describes it as "partial 16S ribosomal RNA". It matches the Rfam family "Bacterial small subunit ribosomal RNA", at positions 28 to 507 of the family's 1533-position model. The record is from RNAcentral.